GGGAGCAAACAGGAUUAGAUACCCUGGUAGUUCACGCCGUAAACGAUGUCGACUUGGAGGUUGUGCCCUUGAGGCGUGGCUUCCGGAGCUAACGCGUUAAGUCGACCGCCUGGGGAGUACGGCUGCAAGGUUAAAACUCAAAUGAAUUGACGGGGGCCCGCGCAAGCGGUGGAGCAUGUGGUUUAAUUUGAUGCAACGCGAAGAACCUUACCUGGUCUUGACAUCCACGGAAGUUUUCAGAGAUGAGAAUGUGCCUUCGGGAACCGUGAGACAGGUGCUGCAUGGCUGUCGUCAGCUCGUGUUGUGAAAUGUUGGGUUAAGUCCCGCAACGAGCGCAACCCUUAUCCUUUGUUGCCAGCGGUCCGGCCGGGAACUCAAAGGAGACUGCCAGUGAUAAACUGGAGGAAGGUGGGGAUGACGUCAAGUCAUCAUGGCCCUUACGACCAGGGCUACACACGUGCUACAAUGGCGCAUACAAAGAGAAGUGACCUCGCGAGAGCAAGCGGACCUCAUAAAGUGCGUCGUAGUCCGGAUUGGAGUCUGCAACUCGACUCCAUGAAGUCGGAAUCGCUAGUAAUUGUGGAUCAGAAUGCCACGGUGAAUACGUUCCCGGGCUUUGUACACACCGCCCGUCACACCAUGGGAGUGGGUCGCAAAAGAAGUAGAAAGGUUAACCUUCGGGAGGG
This 686-nucleotide ribosomal RNA is filed under the name uncultured organism. Its description in RNAcentral is "SSU rRNA". It matches the Rfam family "Bacterial small subunit ribosomal RNA", at positions 764 to 1450 of the family's 1533-position model. The record is from RNAcentral.